Acanthosepion pharaonis is the source of this 100-nucleotide non-coding RNA. Lineage: Eukaryota; Metazoa; Mollusca; Cephalopoda; Sepiida; Sepiidae. The record is from the annotation of a GenBank genome assembly.
UUACGGUCAAAUCACGCUGAAACACCGGUUCUCGUACGAUCACCGAAGUUAAGCAGCGUAGAGCCAGGGGGACCGCUUGGGAACACCUGGUACUGUAAUC